RNAcentral lists this ribosomal RNA (253 nucleotides) under uncultured bacterium. Its description in RNAcentral is "partial 16S ribosomal RNA". It matches the Rfam family "Bacterial small subunit ribosomal RNA", at positions 524 to 776 of the family's 1533-position model. The record is from RNAcentral.
UACGGAGGGUGCGAGCGUUGCUCGGAAUCACUGGGCGUAAAGCGUACGCAGGCGGACCGUUAAGUCGGGUGUGAAAGCCCGGGGCUCAACCCCGGAAAUGCAUUCGAAACUGGCGGUCUUGAGUACGGGAGAGGGAGGUGGAAUUCCUGGUGUAGAGGUGAAAUUCGUAGAUAUCAGGAGGAACACCGGUGGCGAAAGCGGCCUCCUGGCCCGAUACUGACGCUCAUGUACGAGAGCGUGGGGAGCAAACAGG